Molecule: ribosomal RNA, 253 nt
Filed under: uncultured bacterium
Lineage: Bacteria
Description: partial 16S ribosomal RNA
Rfam family: Bacterial small subunit ribosomal RNA
Source: RNAcentral
GACAGAGGGUGCAAACGUUGUUCGGAAUUACUGGGCGUAAAGCGCGUGUAGGUGGCGAGGCAAGUCGGGUGUGAAAGCCCUGGGCUCAACCCAGGAAGUGCACUCGAUACUGCCUAGCUAGAGUCCCGGAGAGGUUGGUGGAACUCUCGGUGUAGAGGUGAAAUUCGUAGAUAUCGAAAAGAACACCGGUGGCGAAGGCGGCCAACUGGACGGUGACUGACACUGAGACGCGAAAGCGUGGGGAGCAAACAGG